Long non-coding RNA from Vespa mandarinia (Asian giant hornet), 2561 nucleotides. RefSeq lists it as uncharacterized. The record is from RefSeq and is a predicted model, not a curated record. NCBI's taxonomy places the organism in Eukaryota, Metazoa, Arthropoda, Insecta, Hymenoptera, Vespidae.
CGAUUAUCGAAAUCUCGAAAUAGUAAGAUUAGUUCCGCCGGUUCGUGACAUAGUCCAGAUUCGAAAUAAAAGUCGUCGCGGAAAAGUUUGUAUAAAUGAAGAAUAUUAAUAUUAUUGUGCAUCAUCAUUGUCAUCGCCUGAUUGUCAUCGAAAUGAAAAAAGAAUUCUUCCAUAUCUACAACGAGCCGUAGUUCGAGUAUCGUCAUAAUCAUUUACCUAUGUACGUACAAUUGCGAAAGGUGGUACAACGAGUAAAGGAUCUUAGAAAACUGUCCUCGGAGAUUUUCCAAGAUUGCGGAGUAGAGACAAAGCACCGUUACUUCGUUCAGACAUAAACUGGCUGGUAUACACGUGUACUAUGGUUACUAUGUUAGAGGGAUGCAUUGUACGAACGAACGAAGAAUGAAGAAAAUUAUGCACGUACGUGUUGCAAGGCGUGUCCUAGGAUUUACUUCCGUCACAACGAUAGAUAGAAAUGACAGGAGAGAUUGCUGUUGUACAAAGCUGCGGGAUGCUUGUCGAACGCCCCUCUUCACCGUUUCAAUGCUACAAUCGUUUCGGACUACUGACAACUGUAACACCAUAGAACGACGAGCGAGAUACCCAUGAGAAUCUCAUCCCAAAUCCAUGUGGGCGUAAGACGAUGUGACGAUUACGAUUAUGAGACGUACAAUUUCUCGAAUGAAAUUUUAAACAGAGAAACAGGGCAAACGUCCAAAGGCAAAAGUAUCAUAGCGAAUCAUGAACAGAGGCAAUAAUUCUAACGUAACAAGAUCAUAUCGUGCUGUGCAACGUUCUAGCUUAAAGUCACGAAGCAAAAUCAUAUAUCGUUGCGAAUCGCUCUCUCUCUCUCUCUUUUUUAUGGACUAGUUGGAAAUUCUAAAAAAAAAGUAGUUCGUAACUUUCCCACUACGCCCACCGAUCGGUACUUUUUAAUGGAGGCAGGACCAACCUCUCUCUCUCUCUCUCUCUCUCUUUCUUUCUCUUGAAAAAAGGGUUGCCUACGAAAUUUAAACAUCCAUCAUUUCUCGUCGACGAGUUAACCUCGCAACCCCUUUUGUCCUCCUUGAUCUCCCUUCUUCUACCUGCCACGCGCCAUUAUAAUGCGAACGGUUAAACUCGCUUUAAAUUUAACUGCUCCCUUAAAACUUAAGCUAUGCUUUACGAGCGUCAACGAACAUCUCCUCCAUCGACGAUGGCGCGUACGCGCGUGUACGAUUAUUCUUGAACAAGCAGGUAACGCGUUUAGAUGUAUGCGUAAUGUAAGAGAGAGAGAGAGAGAGAGAGAGAGAGGAGAUACUUCGAAGGCGCCGUCUGUUUUUACGACCUCUCUAUCUCGCUUCGCCCUUUUGUUGCACGCCUUGGCGUACUGUAUCGACGAGGGAAAGUGCACACUAAAAUGGAGAUUGUCCCCUGGAGCAUUUACGGAUCGAAAGAUAAAUUCGUAAUCUGUUACGGGACGGCUUUUUAAGCGGCUUUUGUGUUACUAGGUGGUUCAAGAAAAUGUGAGAACACGCGUGCUGAGUUUAAGGACUCAUGAUUUCAAAUGAAAAUUUGUCUGUUAUCCAAUCGUUGUCUUUAUUACUAAAUAAAUUAUAAUACGUUGAAAAGUUUCUCGAAAUGAUCCAAAUUAUAUACAUAAAGGGAAGAUAUUAUUAUACAUAAAUGAAAAUGUCCCAUUGGAAAAUUUAUCCAAGAUGAAGGCAGUCCUUAGAAUUAUAUUUCAUACAAAGUAUAUUUUUCUCUGAAUCAUUAACUGGAAAUAGUAAAAUGUUUGAUGUAAUGCGAACGAAGUUUAACAAGACCGACACAGUAAGAUCUCGUAACCAUACACCUGGUCCAAAGUACCGGACCUUCUCUUCUGGAUAAGAAGAGCAAUAUAUAUAUAUAUAUAUAUAUAUAUAUAUACACUUAUAUAUACGAGUAAAGCAUAUAACCAACUCACAUGCAUAUAUACGUAUGUACGUAUGUAAGGUGGCUGGCUAACAUUCCAGUCCUGGAGAGUCCGAGUCUCGACCCGGCCCACCUGUUUAUCCCGAUAUGGCAUUAGCUAUUGCCGGAGAGAACACCGAAGAGCGUGUGCAUGCGCACGAUAUGAUAAUGUAAAGACAGCCAUCCGGGCAAUCGCCGUGGACUUUAGCCGCGACUAAACGAGGAUCGCUUAUCCCGCGAACAUCCGCUACCACCACCCUUCUUACUUUGUUUCUCAUGCGGCUAACCGCCGCGUUACUUUGUAUCUCCCUUCAGAUUCAGAAGAAAGAAAAUCAACCGAGAGAUAAAAAAGAAAAAAGAGAAAGAAAGAAACAAAUCGUUUGCUUUAUAAAUCCGUAAAUAAAUCAACCUUUUUAAAAGCACCUAAUAAUAUCUAGUCGAUAUCUUUCAUGAUCAUAUAAUUAAUUAAAUGUGACGUCUAUCCGAAAAGAUUUCUUAUGGUAUAGCAUAGAACAAAACUCUAUGGAUAUUCGAUAUUCGAAUUGAGGUAUGAAAUGCAAAGGUAACAAAAAAAAAAAAGGAAAAAAAAAAACAGAAAAAAAGAAAAGGCGCAAAAGAAUAAGAAAAAG